RNAcentral lists this ribosomal RNA (254 nucleotides) under uncultured bacterium. Its description in RNAcentral is "partial 16S ribosomal RNA". It matches the Rfam family "Bacterial small subunit ribosomal RNA", at positions 524 to 776 of the family's 1533-position model. The record is from RNAcentral.
UACGUAGGGUGCAAGCGUUGUCCGGAAUUAUUGGGCGUAAAGAGCUCGUAGGCGGUGUGUCACGUCGGCCGUGAAAACCUGCAGCUUAACUGUGGGCGUGCGGUCGAUACGGGCAUCACUGGAGUUCGGCAGGGGAGACUGGAAUUCCUGGUGUAGCGGUGAAAUGCGCAGAUAUCAGGAGGAACACCGGUGGCGAAGGCGGGUCUCUGGGCCGAUACUGACGCUGAGGAGCGAAAGCAUGGGGAGCGAACAGG